UGUCAUAGGUAUAGAUUUCUCCAGGAGUCCCUUUCUGUCUCCUUUAUGGGAACAGUGCAGUGCAAAGAAGCGAUGGUAACAGCCAGAAUUCAGCCCAAUUUACUCACCCUUAAAGAAAACCAAGGAGCUACAGCACAUACUGAAUGGCAAGAAAAUAAUCUUUGUUUACUGGACUAAAGCCUGGAGAUCCUUACUUGAUACAGAGAAUGGAAGCAGUUUUGUGGUUUGGGACAUCUUCCUCAAUCUUUUCUACAAAGCCACACAACUUCACUACAGUGCUUGUAAAGGAGCUGACCAAGUAGGCAACUGAUGCCAGAUUUGGCGCAGCAGUGUACAAAGAGGAGGAAAGCAUGUACCCUGUGGCUGCUGGGUGACUGAGAUUCAGAUGGUAUGAGACUUCACUAAGCAUUUCUUUGUAGGUCUCUGCCAUUACAAAUGGUCAUAAUUAAUGGUCUUUUCCCAUCUCUGAGACUGCCAGAAAGACUUUACAGCAAUUUAGUAGGGAAAUUAAGUGAAGAGGCAGCAAAGGGACUCCUGAAGCUGCAUCCUGAGACCAUUUUUGUCACAUUGAGCACGUGAGACUUGGACUGGCAUUUAUGGUGCCUGACUUCAGAGAUCAGACUUCACCAGAGGUGUGUUUUCAUGGGAAAAGCCAAGAGCCUGUGUUAGUCUGUACAUUCUUCAAGUAGGGGAAUUUUUUUCUCCACAUCUGAUACCAGGUAUCUGUUUUCUUUUGGGGCAUGGCAGAUAAAGUAGAUUUUGUCCUAUUAUCUGGAUAGCAAACUUCCACUACUAGCAGAGCAGCAUGUUUAAUUCUGAAAUAUGCUGUUCAUCUUAGUUCCUUCUCAGCCUCAAGAGUUAAUGGAUUGUUUCUAUCAAGGAAAAUAAUUUUUUAAAAUCUUAAUUUACUGUGAUCUUCAGUUGUUACAAAGAGCUGAACUGAAAUCAAAUGAGAGAAAGUAUUUUGACAUGAAGAACAGAUCAUGAAUUGUAAUUGUGUCUUAACUAUGCAACCUACAAAAAAUAAUUGGGGUAAUGCUUACAGUAGAAGUUAAGAAUUAACUGGUUUAAUUUCAUUAUGACACAAGCAGAGAAGAAAUCCCAGGUGAAACAUCCAGAACGCAGCCAUGGCAAAUUGCCACACUAAGUCCUGUUGACAAGUAAAGAAUGGUAAAACAGGAUUAUAGAGAAAAAAGUGGGCAGCAAUUCAAUUAGCCUGAGUCCUGAUAGCAUGACAAAGUCUUCAGUAAGAACAAAUGAACCUGAGUUUUAUUGUUCAUGGUUAGAACAAGGCAGCAGUCACUGCUUCCUUCUGCUGAGCCCCUCCCAGUUUCCUUGAAAACAGGAAGGAGAAAUAUGAGGUUUGUCUUGCAUACAUAUCCUGAUCCUAAAUACUGACUCGUUCAGUCAGAAAAUGACAAAAUCAAAGCAAAAUUUAAUUGAAACGGUGAGGACUGAAAACAGAAAUGCUGCAGAAGUUAGAAGCAGUACAUUUCAGAAAUCAAGAAAUCAAGUAAUGUUUUCAAAUUCCUAUUGGGAUAAAAAGAUAGCAAACAAGAAGCAAAGGCAAAGUUGCAUCAGGACAGUUCUUGAUUAUUUUGCAUUUCUACCUAAAAAUGACAAACACAUGAAGCAAUGGUAAAUACCUUAAGUAUUUUAUGUAUGAGCUAUAAUAAAUUUAAAAAAUUGUCAGGCCAAACAGUUGAUGUUAAAGAAAAAUGCUUGGGCUUACGCUAGUACUUUCUACACAGAGAUCCAAUGUAGUGAUAGAAAUGUUAGAUAUAAUUUUAACUUAUAGAAAUAACUGAAUUUAUCUGGCAACUAAACCCCACUCUAGCUAUAGCUUUCAUAACAUUAGAAAUAGUUGCCCAAGGUUUUGGUUAUAUGCUUAAUCUUUUUUCUAAGUCUGUUUCUCAAAGCUUGAGGUUUGUUCAGACCUGGUAGCCAAACCACAUUUUUUGGAACUGGUUUGCAAUGGAACAAUAUAUGAACACCAGUGAAUUAAAUUAAAUCCUGCACCAACCCUGUAGCUACUAAAUAUGUCUCUUCCUUUUCUUCUCAGACACGUAAAACUCAUGUACUUAUAUUACUGAUUUUUUCCUCAAUCAAGUCAAAGAAAAUCCUGUAAAUGCCUACCUUUUUUCCAAGAAAGCGACAGGAAACGUCUCUUUAAAAAUAAUCUCCUCAGAUAUAUAAAUUUAUUCUUUUCACUCCUCUGCAUUUUUUCAAAUCCUGGAAUUCAAGCUUAACAAAUUCUAUUUUACUACAAUACAGUCUUAUUUUUAGGUAAUAUGGGACAGAGACCACAUAUUAAAUGUUGAUUAGAAUAACCUGUGAAUUCAGUGAGCUUGAAAGUGCUUUUGUAAAAAUGUGCAGAUAGGGAUGUCAUCUCGGUAGAAGAGCACCAAGCCCCUCUAGGAAGGCUGAAGAUACUCAAGUACUCCUAGGUAGAGGUGACAUUUGAAUGCCUGGAUUAUCCAAGGCCACAAAAACUGAAUUAAGAACCCCUGUUCUAUCACGUACUCAUCUUUUCACCACAAAGGGACAACUGUUACAUCCGCAAAAAUAAUUCUAAACAUACACUUAGAAUUUUUUUUUUUACUUUACAAAUGUUAUGAAUUUUGUCCAUAAAAGAAAAUAAACCUUCUAUAACUAGUAAUUGCACAUAAAUAACCCCCUCUCCACCUUCCCUAGCCCAUACCUAUUAAGCAGGAUAUAAAAAUUUGCAGUGCUACUUUGCCUCUUAGAUCUUGAACUGAAGAUAUUAGGUGCUGUAGCACUGUUAGAUCUCACUGUUAGAUUACUUAUAAACUCCAAAAUUAGCAUUUGUCAAUGCUGAAACCUACUUUGCAUUAGUUUUAAAGGGCUCUUCGAAAGACUUUAUUUGGAAGGCUGGAGAGCCUAAUGUUGGGUCCUGCAUUCACAAGCAAACUACUUGGAUUGCACGAAAUCGUUUAAUGGUAUUUUUACCUAGCUUUUAUUGCCUCAUUUGGCCUUUAUUACUAUUUUUAUCACCAAAUUAUUAGCUAAUGAACAUUAGUUCAAAAUAAGGAAGGAAGAAAUAAACCAGUCAACCAGCCCAUCCAACUUGAAAUAGGUUGAUUAAACCAGGGCAUUUCCACACUGAGGAGGAAAAUCAACUUGAUAACUUGGUCCUUCCUUAAUAAGACAGCGAUGGCUUGGGAAAUUUUUCACUGCAUUUUUAAAGUUCCAAUAUUCAGUAUACUUAUGUCAGUAAGAUUAUUGUUAUUGAAUAAUUACGGGCAGGCACUGAAACUAUCCAUAGAAAAUACUGAAAUCUUCAGUCCAACAGAAUGCUAAAUUAUUGCCUAAUCUGAGUGCAGAAGACUUCAACAAGUUAUUCAAAUGUUUCAAACUAGGUACACACAUUUUCGGAAUGGAUACCUUAUUUAUUCUUACUUCGAAGAUGAUCACAGAAACAUCUAGCAUCUUGCAGAAUAGGUGUAACAUACAAUUAAAUGGAAGUUUGCAACACGUGUAUUUUUUAGGCAAUCAGUGUGCCCUAGCAUUGCUAACAAUCCUGAAAUAAGCUUACUUUUUGUAGGGAGCAUUUCAAAAUUCAAGUAUUUCAGACUUACAAGAAAUGCCUAUUUUUUGGAAGUUCAGAAGGCCUUGUAUGAGUGUUUUUCAAGGAUUUGAAAUGUGAUACUCAUUAAAUCGCACACUACUCUUGUUCUGAAAGAAUAAACCUAAGCUAGCUGAUGUACAUUAUCUGCAAAAGUUCUAUGGAUAAUUGUUUCCAAAAAGAGAGGACAAAUUUCUUUUUAAAUAAUUUGAGAGUUAUUUUUACAGCCUAACAAUGUUGAUGGAUAGAUUUGAAUGAGGAAGAAAAAAAAAAAAAAAAAAAUCUUUGAAGGGCAACGAAUUGAAGCCCCAUUAUUUCAGACAUUGGAAACAGAUAAAGCUGUAAAAUUAUAAGUAUCUUCCUCUCCUGAAGGAGGAAAGGUUAGGCUACUCAAUAUCCUUCUCCACCUUUCUCUGAUUUGCUUCUGCUUCUGAAACCAAACAUUUCCUCCUGCAACAAAUUCUCUUAGCUUAGCUGCCCCAAAGGACACUUGGUACCAAAAAAGUAAAACAGCUAACGAGAUGGGUAUGGCAACAACUGACCACACAAUCCCAGAUUGAACUUCAGUUUUCUUUACCUAGAUACUCUUUUGUUUUGCAGUCUUUUUGACAUGUGAUGUACCAAAAUGUGUGAAUCUCUCAAUUAAAAAAUGUAAUUAUGUGUUAUUCCAAAACUUGUUACAUUUGAAGGUGAUCAUUGUAACAUUAUACAUUUUUCUUCUGUAACUGCUUUUUUUAUACGUAUCAUUUUCUGAGAAAUAUGUUUGUGAAAGGCAUAUCUCCUAGUAAAAAUACAGGGACAUUUU
Molecule: long non-coding RNA, 4391 nt
Organism: Tyto alba (common barn owl)
Lineage: Eukaryota; Metazoa; Chordata; Aves; Strigiformes; Tytonidae
Exons: 3
Source: RefSeq, a predicted model, not a curated record